UACGUAGGGUGCGAGCGUUGUCCGGAAUUAUUGGGCGUAAAGAGCUCGUAGGCGGUCUGUCGCGUCGAUCGUGAAAACUUGGGGCUUAACCCUGAGCUUGCGGUCGAUACGGGCAUGACUGGAGUUCGGCAGGGGAGACUGGAAUUCCUGGUGUAGCGGUGAAAUGCGCAGAUAUCUGGAGGAACACCGGUGGCGAAGGCGGCAUCCUGGACCGACACUGACACUGAGGAGCGAAAGCCAGGGGAGCAAACGGG
RNAcentral lists this ribosomal RNA (254 nucleotides) under uncultured bacterium. RNAcentral's name for it is "partial 16S ribosomal RNA". It matches the Rfam family "Bacterial small subunit ribosomal RNA", at positions 524 to 776 of the family's 1533-position model. The record is from RNAcentral.